CGUAGAUCGACUGGAGAAGAACGGCACGGCACGCCCGCCGCGGCAGCGCACGGGCGAGCCUGAGCCGCUAGGUAGGUCCCUCCAGACGAUUCUGAGCAAAUCGGGCUAUUUGUCUCCACAGGGCCGACAGCAGAUUGAAAACCUGCAAGCGCGACAACUUAAAGAGCGGCAGCGAGAGCAGGCGGCUGGGUACGUAAGGAAAAGCGGUGUCUGGCCGCGCUACGCGCGCGCAUCGCUGGAUGAUUUGGAAUUGCCCCGCCGGUCUCUCAAUGCCACCGAGCUCGCCCGCUACGUGACCGUGCGCGACCAGCUCCGAACACUCCUUGAUGAG
Molecule: unclassified non-coding RNA, 331 nt
Filed under: uncultured bacterium
Lineage: Bacteria
Description: contains 16S-23S intergenic spacer region
Source: RNAcentral